Molecule: long non-coding RNA, 1069 nt
Organism: Capsicum annuum
Lineage: Eukaryota; Viridiplantae; Streptophyta; Magnoliopsida; Solanales; Solanaceae
Exons: 2
Source: RefSeq, a predicted model, not a curated record
CUUUAAUUUCUCCUCAGCCCAAACAGCUUCCACUAAACAGUAUCAAAACAACUACAACAACCAACCCAACAAAAUCAGCCAACACUAGGCCCUAAUAAUAGAUUCCUACCCGGCCCAUUCUUCCCUUCUCUUAACAGCAAAACAAUGAUCGUAUCAACAAUGGCACCAGCAACAUAACAAUGCAUCAACAGCUGUACAGACCGAACAUCAACAAUGAACAAAUUAGUAACAGAAAUUUCAACAGCUACGAUCAGCCAGCAAUGGCUGUCAACAAAACAACCAUAACAAUAGCCUCGACAUCCACCAACGUCAAAACUAGCGGUUUCUAUUCUUUUUACACUUUUACCCCUCCGUACAGCCGAUAAAGGCUAGAGAAUCACCAACUUUUUCCUUUCUCAGAACUUGUUCAUCCAUUGUCAGCAAUGGUACAAUGGAUACAAUAAAUUCAAAUUUGAAAUUCAACAUUUGAAAUCGUAAAACCCUAAUUCUUUCCCAUAUAAAUAGAGGUUGGGGGUUAGAGGUGAAGGGGGGAUUUUUGGGGAAAAAUUGGGGCUUCUGGAGAUGCGUGUCUCUAACCUCAUGCAACUAAAAUUCUGGUGAAAUCAAGUAAAAUCCAGUGCUGGAAACUUUAUCGUUAUAGGCUUGUCGUCCCAUUCACUCUGGAAAAAGGUGAUUUCUAUUUUACUUCACGUGUUUUUGCUGCUUCAAGCUCCCUUACUUGUGCAUCAGGAAAGUCAUGUAAAAACUGACUAUCUGGAAGUGAUCACUGACUUUCCGUCACUAAAUUUGGUGUAACAACAUCGAAUUUAUUUGUAUUCGAAGGUGUUGACAUCCCAAAUAUUAGUGCGUCUAAAACAUCUUGAAUAGACUCCGAUAGUGUGGCAUUCACGUCAUCCUACAGAUUAAAGAUUGAUUGUUAUGUGUAAAAUCAAACAUAUUAAUAUUUAACGAUAGUGAUACCUAAACAGUAGCUACGUUAAUGUAGAUAGGUUUUUAGUUAAAAACAACAUAUGAGCUGUCAAAAAAAUACCUGCAAAUCUUUCACAUCAGUACUUUGAUGUUUGUUCAA